UGGCGACUUGUCCAGGGUGUACCCUGCCUUCCGCCCGUGUGCAGUUGGGGGAAGGCUCCAGCACCCCCCGCGACCCCGUAAGGGACAAGCGGUAGAAAAUGGAGGGAUGAAAGGCCAGCCUCUGAGAUAGCACUGUAUUUGAGCAACACUGACCCCUGUAGAAGAUAUCUGCAAGACACAUCUUGAAGAUGCGCUUCGAAAAAAUGGUCCAUCCUGUGUCUGUGGAAAAGAGCAGAGCCUGAGGCUGCAUGGAAGCGAGCAGAAAAGCAGGGUCCCACAGACAGGACUGUCCCAGCAGGCGGUACACUGUGUGAGAAGAGGUACCCCAAAAGGGCGCUUUGGUCGGUCCAAACUCACAUCAGACGACACACCAAUGGGUUAACAUCAAGCACUAGUGCCCUCCCACCAUCCACCCCCUCCCAAAAUGGACCAUCCCAUGGAUUCACAUGACGUGUGUGCAUGUGUGUGUGUGUGUGUGUGUGUGUGUCCCGGUCAUAUAUAUAUAUAUAGGACCAUGUGGGCUCCGACGUGGAGUUUAGUAGCACAGACGUUGUGUCGGCUGCAGGCCCUGCCCAAAAAAGACAAGCAUUAGCAGGAAUAUCGGUGCAUAGAACAACAGUUCUCCGCCUGUGGGAACUGAGGGACCCCUUCCACAACUCCUCCUUUUCCUCCUCUGUGAAAAGCUGCCCCCCGAAAGAAAAAAAAGAAAAAUGGGUGAUCUGCUGGAGGACGGCUCGUUCAUGUUCACGUCGGAGUCUGUGGGAGAGGGACAUCCAGACAAGAUUUGCGACCAGAUCAGCGAUGCCGUGCUGGACGCUCACCUCGAGCAGGACCCCGAUGCCAAAGUGGCCUGUGAGACGGUGUGUAAGACGGGCAUGGUGCUGCUCUGCGGAGAGAUCACGUCCCGGGCCAACGUUGACUACCAGAAGGUGGUGAGGGAGGCCAUCAAACACAUCGGCUACGACAACUCCGAUAAAGGUUUCGACUACAAAACGUGUAACGUUCUGGUGGCUUUGGAGCAGCAGAGUCCAGACAUUGCUCAGGGGGUCCAUGUGGACCGCAAGGAGGAGGACAUCGGCGCCGGAGACCAGGGUCUGAUGUUCGGCUACGCCACAGACGAGACCGAGGAGUGCAUGCCUCUCACCAUCGUCUUAGCCCACAAGCUCAACUCCAAGAUGGCGGAGCUCAGACGCAACGGUACCAUCCCUUGGCUGCGCCCGGACUCCAAAACUCAGGUGACAGUGCACUACGACCAGAAAGAUGGCGCUGUGAUCCCCAAGAGGGUCCAUACCAUCGUUGUCUCCGUGCAACACGACGACUACAUCUCUCUGGAAGAACAGAAGAAGGUCCUCAGGGAAAAGGUGAUCAAUGCGGUGGUGCCCGCCAAGUACUUGGAUGAUAAGACCGUCUACCACCUGCAGCCCAGCGGCCGCUUCGUCAUCGGUGGCCCUCAGGGAGAUGCCGGCGUCACGGGCCGCAAGAUCAUCGUGGACACGUACGGGGGCUGGGGCGCUCACGGGGGCGGAGCUUUCUCGGGCAAAGACUUCUCCAAAGUGGACCGCUCGGCCGCUUACGCCGCUCGUUGGGUGGCCAAGUCUCUGGUCAGGGCCAAGCUGUGCAGGAGGGUCCUGGUCCAGGUGUCCUACGCCAUCGGGGUGGCUCACCCUCUGUCCAUCUCGUUGUUCACCUACGGCUCGUCCAAAAAAACGGAGUCGGAGCUUCUCCACAUCGUCAACAAGAACUUUGACCUGAGGCCAGGAGUCAUUGUCAGGGAACUGCAGCUGAAGAGGCCCAUCUACCAGCAGACCGCCACCUACGGUCACUUUGGCCGGCCAGAGUUUUCCUGGGAGGUUCCCAAAAAGCUUAUUUUGUAGAACGCUCAACUUUAAUAAGCUAGAAAGAUGAAUCAAACCAAAGUUAUUCAGGGGGAUAGGAGGAUAUAUAAUGUGAAGGACAUCUAAUGGGAGACAUCUUUCUUCCUAUUAGCCUGGUGCUUAUUUCCCCGACUCCCGUUUUUUUUAAAUAAAUGUAGAUUUACAAAUCACCACAACCUCAAUGAAUGUACAAUAGACGUUUUUGUUGUUGUUGUAAUCAUUAAACCAAAGCCGUGCUCAACAAACAGGUCAAUAAAUAAGACACAGGGAGCGCGGUGGUCUGCUCUCACAAGCAUGUUACAAUCAACCAAAACUGUAAAAUAGCCUUUGCUUUAUUUUCCUAACUGCUGGGCUCCGUAUCAGUGCCUUCACACCUCGUUUGUUUGUCUGCAACUCUUCUGAUUUUAGGACUUUUUCCACUUAAACCGCUUUCUUUGUGGACCUUCAGAACAAACGCACAAGUUCAUUUAAAAGAGUCAGAACAUGUGUUUCUACGGGCAUUUUUGACUUUUUUUCACCACGUCUUAAUUCUACAGAGUAUCUUAAUUCCUCAGUGCUGAGCCUUUAUCAACAGCCCAGUGUUGUUUUUGUUUUGAAGAAUAUUACUUUUAUGACUUGUGUUGAUCCAUGUCCUUGAUACUGUCAUCUUUUUUGUUGGCAAAGUAACCGGACAGUGUAAAUAAUUAAACACAGAAAAUUAAAGAUGUCAAUUG
This is an RNA transcript of Entelurus aequoreus (snake pipefish), 2587 nucleotides long. It is a transcript of the gene named methionine adenosyltransferase 1A, with no coding region annotated. The record is from RefSeq and is a predicted model, not a curated record. NCBI's taxonomy places the organism in Eukaryota, Metazoa, Chordata, Actinopteri, Syngnathiformes, Syngnathidae. The transcript is spliced from 14 exons.